Molecule: long non-coding RNA, 2048 nt
Organism: Danio aesculapii
Lineage: Eukaryota; Metazoa; Chordata; Actinopteri; Cypriniformes; Danionidae
Exons: 3
Source: RefSeq, a predicted model, not a curated record
AACCCCUCUAAAACCAGGCUGGUCAACCAGCUAACCAGCCUAGGGUGGUUUAAGCUGGAUUUUUCAGCAGGGAAAAUCAAAUAAAAGAUUGUUCUAGAUCAGUGGUUCCCAACCUUUUUUUUUGCCUGAGACCCCCUUUUCCCUGUAAAAUAUUGUAAGACCCCCUCCACAUUUAAUGAUAUAAUCGCUCAUAUAAGUUUGCAGUAAUGAUGACAAAAAAUGUUGUUUUCAAACUAACGGUAUGUUUAUUACUAUAUCUAGAUAUCUUUAUGCACAAAUAAUAAGCUAAUGUAAAAUAUAUAAGCAAAACAUCAGUCAGCCAUGUGUAACUAAUAAACGUAAGCCUUUAAUCUUUAAAUUGGCCCGAUUUGACAUUCAAUAACAAAAAUAUCACUAUUUACACUGGUGUAUGAGGGGAAAAAUGAACAGAGGGAAUUACAAUUUAAUACUUGUUAUUUGUUAUGCUACACCAAUUAGUGUAAGGAUUGCUGCGAGGUGAAUCAGUGCAACUCUUUGUGGAGAACGAAUUGCAAAAUUGUCAAUUUUUGGUGGGGGGGUGGUGUUUCCUAGGUUGUAGGUUGCUAGGCAAACAUCAGCCAUUUUCCCAGAGGAAUGAGGAUGACAAGCUGACAAAACAUUGCUGUCACUCUGAUACAAGUUUUAUCUGUGGGAAAAAUGACAAGCACUGCAGUGUUUGGGUGUUAGUCUGAAAAAACGAAUCUUACCGAAAUAUUAAUAUUCCAUACAAGCUGAAGCUGAUCGGUCAAUUCUUGUCACGUGACUUGUGUUGCGCUUGCGGCCCGGUGUUCACUGGUGCAAGUGCGUCACGCUGCUCCAUUGGAAACAACAAACUUGUGCAAACUCUAGAAAUACGCGAUGUGCGAACGGCCCCAUAUGCGAUCUCCAUCAGUUGAUCUUCUUGCAGAGCCAUGCUGGAUUCACCUGGUUUGUUGACAAAUCAGGGUUGGGAAUCCAUACGUUGGCAGUUCGUGGGUUAUUCACUGGGUCUUUUUCCCUUAGCAAAGACACUUUCCAAAGACGUCUGUUUUUUACUCGUUUUGUUACUCGUGGGUUAAAUCUGGGCGCUUGAGUGACCGAGAUGUAAGCGAGAGUAUGGUUAUUAUUCAACAUGAAAGAUCAUUCAGACUCAAAUAAUUCAAAUUAUUAAUGAUUUCUUGUGUGGCCCGGUACCAAUUGAUCCAUGGACCGGUGGUUGAGGACCACUGAGCUAGGGGAUAAAAUAAACUAAGGCAACAUAAUCAUUCUGCUAAUUGUCCACUGCUAAGAACUGUUUAAAAUAUGACGCGGCCCACAAGGGCCCCUGUUGGGAACCACUGUUCUAGAGUCAGGUUCAGGCACUGUUUUGGCACCAAAACCAAUGUAAAAGUGUUGAUUUAGCACUGGUAUCACAAUAACCCCCCCCACCCGAAAAAACGCCAGUGGUUUGUCAGCAUGCGUAGUGUAUUUUUAAUAUAUCCAUGUAAUAAUACUAAUCCAACACAUGUACCUUCUUGAUGUCCUUAUUUUGCAUUUAUGAGGAAAAAGCUUCGUUAUGGAUGUGACCAAUGAGAAAUUUACACUUCUGUGUCUUUGAUAAAUGAAAUAAAAUAGUUUGCAGUCGUUGACGGGGAUAUUUGGAGUGUUUUAGAGUACUGUGAAAUACAAAACUACACAGACUCAAAGAAAGAGUUUCACUAUUUUGGUGAAAACUUUAUUAUUUUGAUGACAGGAUUGACAUUUGCAUAGAGCUGCUCAGAUGCCUGACACUAUACACAGCUUUAAAUGGAACUAAUUUACAUAUUUAAAUUCAUUAACAUUUAUUUUGAGUGUUGUGAAUAUUUCAGAUGUGUGUGUGUGUGUGUUGUGCAGGACAGAAGCGUAAGUGAACACACACACGCAUGUAUAUCAUUAAUAGAGAUCCUGUAUGCGUCACACUUCAGCUGGAAUGACAGAAACAUCUCACAGGAAUCUUUUCGAGAAUGCUGUGGAUGAAUGCAGCUGUAUUAAAGAUGAAUACGGAGAGGAAAUAAACGGCAGCGGAGUUGAGC